GACGAACGCUGGCGGCGUGCCUAAUACAUGCAAGUAGAACGCUGAAGGAGGAGCUUGCUCUUCUGGAUGAGUUGCGAACGGGUGAGUAACGCGUAGGUAACCUGCCUGGUAGCGGGGGAUAACUAUUGGAAACGAUAGCUAAUACCGCAUAAUAGUUGAUGUUGCAUGAUAUUUACUUAAAAGGUGCAAUUGCACCACUACCAGAUGGACCUGCGUUGUAUUAGCUAGUUGGUGGGGUAACGGCUCACCAAGGCGACGAUACAUAGCCGACCUGAGAGGGGGAUCGGCCACACUGGGACUGAGACACGGCCCAGACUCCUACGGGAGGCAGCAGUAGGGAAUCUUCGGCAAUGGACGAAAGUCUGACCGAGCAACGCCGCGGGAGUGAAGAAGGUUUUCGGAUCGUAAAGCUCCGUUGUAAGAGAAGAACGAGUGUGAGAGUGGAAAGUUCACACUGUGACGGUAGCUGACCAGAAAGGGACGGCUAACUACGUG
This 495-nucleotide ribosomal RNA is filed under the name uncultured bacterium. RNAcentral describes it as "partial 16S ribosomal RNA". It matches the Rfam family "Bacterial small subunit ribosomal RNA", at positions 28 to 507 of the family's 1533-position model. The record is from RNAcentral.